Non-coding RNA from Podarcis lilfordi (Lilford's wall lizard), 1535 nucleotides. The record is from the annotation of a GenBank genome assembly. Lineage: Eukaryota; Metazoa; Chordata; Lepidosauria; Squamata; Lacertidae.
CACACACACUUAAUUCCUUGGCUAGGCAUAACCCAAGCUACACAGGGUCAAGAAACUGUGAGGUACCGGGGGAGAAGGAUUUCUCCCACCCCUUUCAAUCAUUGCCUGGGCCAGUCUUAGGAUUGUGUUGCAGAGUACCACUUCCAAUCUGGUGGAUAUGUCUCACAAGAAAUGAGAGGUAAAUAGCAGUAGCACGAUAGAUGGGUAAGAUAAACUUUAUUCGCAUUAGCCAACAGCCAUAGCAACAUAAAACAAGCAAUAUAUACAAAUAAAAAGUUCAGGGCAAAAAGGGCACUCAAAUGGCCAAGAUUAUCGUUCAAGACAGGUAAAGGUAAAGGGACCCUGACCAUUAGGUCCAGUCGUGGCUGUCUCUAGGGUUGCGGCGCUCAUCUCGCUUUACUGGCUGAGGGAGCCGGCGUACAGCUUCCGGCUCAUGUGGCCAGCAUGACUAAGCCGCUUCUGGCGAACCAGAGCAGUGCACGGAAACGCCGUUUACCUUCCCACUGGAGCGGUACCUAUUUAUCUACUUGCACUUUGACGUGCUUUUGAACUGCUAGGGUGGCAGGAGCAGGGACCGAGCAACGAGAGCUCACCCCAUUGCGGUGAUUCAAACUGCCGACCUUCUGAUCGGCAAGUCCUAGGCUCUGUGGUUUAACCCACAGCGUCACCCGCAUCCCAGAUAGUUCAGAUAGUGGCCCUUAAUUUCAUUGCACCUUCGAUAAACCUAGCAACCCUUGCUGUUGUCUGACAAUUUUGAUCUGAUAAAAGAAAGAACAAUGUCGCCUCAGAUGGGUGGCCUCAGAUGGUAAGAAAGAGUGGGGUAAUGAUCUCAUUCCUCAGAUCUUUAUAAAGGGGACGGGACAGGAGAACAUGAGCCACUGUUUCCAGAUUACCAUCUCCACAGGGGCAGAGUCAUUUCUCAGUUGGAAUCUUUUGGUAUCUGCCCUCAAGUACGGCAGAAGGCUAGCAGUAGCAAGCUUUGCACCUUAUAAUCAGACACUAGGUAGACAAUUGGCCAUCCCUGUCUUUAAAAAGGAAGGAUCCAUAUCAGCCACCUUUGGUGAGGUAGAAAAGAAGAUCUCCCGCUACCCCUUAUUAGUCAAGGCUCCCGUACAAAUUAGAUAUCAUGCCUGAAAACAGGAUGGGACACUCAAAGGCCCUAUUGAGUUGGAAAAUCCAGAGGUGCCAUAAACACUGAAUUCACAUGUACCAGCCUAAGUUACUUAGGCCACAGCAUUUUAAGUAUGGCUUGGCACUAUUGGCCAACAUAUUGAGAGUUCUGGUUUUCAAACAAUGACGCAACUGUGUUUCAGCCUCCCCUUCAGUCACAACUAACCAGAAAAUUAAAGAAAGGACCGCUGCUCAUUUUUACCCAAGAUGGGAGUGGGGUUUGCUAGAGGGUAUUACAAACAGGUAGGUCAAUUGCCAAGGGCUCUUGCAAUGUAGCAAUAAAUGUCAACUAGACAUGCACUGGCUAUUUUAUUCAUGUUGACAUCUCUCUCAUUUUAGCUUUAAAAGGAUUUGAUGUAGCUAUC